UGUAAAGAUGAUGACAAAAAAAAAACAAAAUGACAAGCAUAUGUCUGAAAGACAUAAAUUUAAAAAUCAUGGUGAAAUUGAUUGAUUAGUUAUUGAAGUGUUGCCAGUACUUCUUGAUUAAAGAUGGAAAGCUGCGUUUUCAAUAGCAAUGAAGUAAUUUAAUCAUGAUUUUUAUUUUUUUAUAUUGAUGUUAAAGUUUUUUUAUAUUGGUCUGAUUUA
Molecule: small nuclear RNA, 219 nt
Filed under: Cryptosporidium parvum
Lineage: Eukaryota; Apicomplexa; Conoidasida; Eucoccidiorida; Cryptosporidiidae
Source: RNAcentral